This 267-nucleotide long non-coding RNA is filed under the name Lathyrus oleraceus (garden pea). Its description in RNAcentral is "Pisum sativum (pea) long non-coding RNA (PSAT_LNC017759)". Lineage: Eukaryota; Viridiplantae; Streptophyta; Magnoliopsida; Fabales; Fabaceae. The record is from RNAcentral.
UUUGAUUAAUUUCCAUCGUGUGGUCUAGCCUGGGGAUUGUUGGAUCUGACACGUUAAUUAAUGAGGUCAGAUCCAACGCUCCGUGUUUUUUCUGAUUUUAUUUAUUUAUAUAUUUUUAUUUUAAAAUACAUUUUCUUUAAAAACUCAUAGUAAUUUCAUUUUUCAUCCAAAAAUUCCAAAAUAAUUUCUAAAAUUUUCUUUUAUUUUUCUUCAUUUUAUUUUUAUUUUUUCACAUUUUAUUUUCUUGAUUUGCUACUUUUCGUGAAU